GGAANGAAAAGGUCNCCUAGNNAANNACUAGGGGGCUCNUGNCGGUACUGGANNAAUAAGCACCGGCUAACUACGUGCCAGCAGCCGCGGUAAUACGUAGGGUGCAAGCGUUAAUCGGAAUUACUGGGCGUAAAGCGUGCGCAGGCGGCUANNUANGACAGAUGUGAAAUCCCCGGGCUCAACCUGGGAACUGCAUUUGUGACUGCAUAGCUGGAGUGCGGCAGAGGGGGAUGGAAUUCCGCGUGUAGCAGUGAAAUGCGUAGAUAUGCGGAGGAACACCGAUGGCGAAGGCAAUCCCCUGGACCUGCACUGACGCUCAUGCACGAAAGCGUGGGGAGCAAACAGGAUUAGAUACCCUGGUAGUCCACGCCCUAAACGAUGUCAACUGGUUGUUGGAUCUUCUGUGANUCAGUAACGAAG
This 420-nucleotide ribosomal RNA is filed under the name Comamonadaceae bacterium. Its description in RNAcentral is "partial 16S rRNA". It matches the Rfam family "Bacterial small subunit ribosomal RNA", at positions 442 to 851 of the family's 1533-position model. The record is from RNAcentral. Lineage: Bacteria; Pseudomonadati; Pseudomonadota; Betaproteobacteria; Burkholderiales; Comamonadaceae.